GUGGGGAAUAUUGGACAAUGGGCGAAAGCCUGAUCCAGCAAUGCCGCGUGAGUGAUGAAGGCCCUAGGGUUGUAAAGCUCUUUUACCCGGGAUGAUAAUGACAGUACCGGGAGAAUAAGCUCCGGCUAACUUCGUGCCAGCAGCCGCGGUAAUACGAGGGGAGCUAGCGUUGUUCGGAAUUACUGGGCGUAAAGCGCGCGUAGGCGGUUUUUUAAGUCAGAGGUGAAAGCCCGGGGCUCAACCCCGGAAUAGCCUUUGAAACUGGAAAACUAGAAUCUUGGAGAGGUCAGUGGAAUUCCGAGUGUAGAGGUGAAAGUCGUAGAUAUUCGGAAGAACACCAGUGGCGAAGGCGACUGACUGGACAAGUAUUGACGCUGAGGUGCGAAAGCGUGGGGAGCAAACAGGAUUAGAUACCCCAGUAGUCC
Molecule: ribosomal RNA, 425 nt
Filed under: uncultured bacterium
Lineage: Bacteria
Description: partial 16S ribosomal RNA
Rfam family: Bacterial small subunit ribosomal RNA
Source: RNAcentral